Molecule: long non-coding RNA, 865 nt
Filed under: Gossypium raimondii (Peruvian cotton)
Lineage: Eukaryota; Viridiplantae; Streptophyta; Magnoliopsida; Malvales; Malvaceae
Description: long non-coding RNA (GRAI_LNC000042)
Source: RNAcentral
AUUGCUCGCCAGGGAUCACUUCUGUCUCGCAGGCCAAAGUCAUCGUCAUGACGAACGAGAGCUCCUUUCUUCACCUCUGUCGGACACGUUCUCAUGUCUUUACCAUCUCCUUCUUAGCCACUAACGAACAUCAUAUAUGAACACUAACCCUUGCAGACUGUGGAACUUUCUUAUCUGCAAUAAUACCCUUCAACCUCCUUAUCAUAAUUCUAACUUAUCACCUCCUUAGUAUAAAAAUGACAUUAUGUUAGAUCAAUGUGUAUAUAUUAAUAAUAAAAUAAACUAAUAAAUCAUUCAAAAUCAAAUCAAAUCGAACCAACUUCAUUGUUAAACUUGGAUUCUUAUAAAAAAAUGUCAUCUUCAAAAUAAUAAUAAAAAAUAUAUCUUUUCUCAAAAUAAGUCAUGUGAGUGGCUAAAAAUUAUCAAUUGAAAUUAAUUUAUUACGAGCUUAUAUACUAAAAUAUGAUCAAUAAAUAAUAUUUUUUAUCAAACGUAGCAUUAAGUUUAAAUUAAUUAAAAUUUUUAAUUUUAAUUUUUGGAUUGAGUUAUUUGGAUAUUUAUUUGAGUAAUUGAGUUUAGUUGUGUAGGGGUAUUGGAAUUUGAAUAUUAAAUAUUUAAUUAUUUUGGCAAGCAUAUGGAUAUAUAAAUUUAGAGUUUUAAUCAAGAUAUUUAAAAAAAAGAAGGAAAUUGGUGGAAUAAAUCAUGGAAGGCGAUUACUUAUGGGAGAUAAAGUGAAAAAUCAGCUAAACCAAUUUAUUUGAAUUAAAUCAAUUUGAUUCCUUAGAAAUCAAGGCUGAAGUGGACGAAGUAACGAAGCUGGGGGCUGACACAACUUACUGCUUUUGGUUUUGGCUUUGUAUUGUGG